AGCAAGUUUCUGUUUGGUUACGACGAUCAGAAGCUUUGGAUCCCCAAGCAAAUCUCUCCGGCACCCACAGAGUCAAAACCUGAGUCUUUUAUAUCCCCACCAGUUGCCGACGCCAACGGCGUUUCUGCAAUCAAGAACCAGCGUGGAAAAAUAUGCAUACUCUCCAUCGACGGCGGCGGCAUGAGAGGGAUUCUUUCUGGGAAAGCAUUGGCCUAUCUGGAGCACGCGCUCAAAACCAAAUCAGGCAAUCCUGACGCCAGAAUCGCUGAUUAUUUCGACGUCGC
RNAcentral lists this unclassified non-coding RNA (284 nucleotides) under Hevea brasiliensis (rubber tree). Lineage: Eukaryota; Viridiplantae; Streptophyta; Magnoliopsida; Malpighiales; Euphorbiaceae. The record is from RNAcentral.